RNAcentral lists this transfer RNA (72 nucleotides) under Marmota marmota marmota (Alpine marmot). It matches the Rfam family "tRNA". Rfam says of the family: Transfer RNA (tRNA) molecules are approximately 80 nucleotides in length. Lineage: Eukaryota; Metazoa; Chordata; Mammalia; Rodentia; Sciuridae. The record is from Rfam by way of RNAcentral. RNAcentral also lists the same sequence under 1 other name.
GGGGGUGUAGCUUAGUGGUAGAGCGCUUGCUUAACACGCAUGAGGCACUGGGUUUGAUCCUCAGCACCACAU